UCGACACCAAAUUUGCAAAUUAACAUAAAAAUGUAUGUCAUUCUUACAAAGUAUCAAAUGUGCUACUACCGCACUACAUAAUAAUAUCAAACUUAAAGUUGUCCAACACAAAAAAAUACAUAUAAUUGAUUUAACGAAAAUACAUAACGGAAAAUAACUAAAACUAAACUUCACUGGAUUUCAAAGAUUCUUUGAUAUUGGCUGCUUGAGAUCCUAAUCCAAAUAUGUUUCCCUUCUUGUUAAUGCCUCCAUGUAUAUACUAUCAUCGUCAUAUGUUGUCGGCUAUCCUCACCUCUUUGAGAGUUUCUCUCAAACAAUUUAGUUUACGCAAAUCCAUCUCCUCUCAUCAUGUAGAGAAGCAACUCUUAGCUCUUCCUCUAGCUCUACCAAAGUUUAUGCAACUCUCCGAAACCAAUUCAAAAUCAAAUGUUAGCAAUUAGCAUAAUAUGUGCAUGAAUUAACUACAUCGUUGUCAAAUUAUAUAAGUGUAGGAACUAACUAACAUUAUGUGAAUUAAAAAUAUAGAAUUUGAAAGAAGCUGACAAGUUUUAAUGGCAUAACUUUUAAGUUGGUCUGGAACAAAUUUUCCUUCCUGUAUCCUUCACUUGGUCAUGGAACUCUUUGGGAAGUCUAGAGUAUAAAUUNNNNNNNNNNNNNNNNNNNNNNNNNNNNNNNNNNNNNNNNNNNNNNNNNNNNNNNNNNNNNNNNNNNNNNNNNNNNNNNNNNNNNNNNNNNNNNNUGGAGGUUAGAAUCAAAUCAUUGUCUACUAUCGAUCAAUUAGAUGUUAGGCGCUUGUGGUAUAAAACCAGUUUUGGGAUACCAACUAUUGACCAGAAAGAACAGAUAAUUAAAUAUUGGAACAUGACAAUAUUCAAUAUAUAGUUUUCUAAUCUGCAAUAUUGGCAUGCUGAAUUUAUUAGAUGUUGGAUAUCAGUUCAAAAAAUUGUGCAUCACUCUAGUCCUUGAAAACUAUAACAUUCAGUUUCUUCACUGCAAACAGAUAAAGGAUCAUUCCAAAGAUUUUAAGCAUGUGAAGCACCAAUAAAUAAAAAACCCAUUAUCUUGAGAAUGAGAGAGAUAAACGACACUUACAAGGUAAAACUAAAACUAAAAUUGAUUUCAGACUUCAUAGAAAUGAGCAAACAAAAACACACAAAUUUGACACUCACAUUUUCCACAAAGUUAAAGUAGUCAUAGNNNNNNNNNNNNNNNNNNNNNNNNNNNNNNNNNNGCCAUACCUGCUCUGUUGCUUCACUCUUCCACACACUCACUUUGCAUAAAUCCUUCAAAUAAUCUGUCAAAAGAGGAACAUCAUUUACAAUAGGAAAAAGAAAAACAUAACCAAUAAUUAAAGAAAAGGUAAAAAGGGAUAUCUACACAUGCAACUUCAAAACAAAACUUAGAAACAAUAAGCAUAAUAGUUUAUUUAUGGAAGUCACAAUAGUAAAAACCCAACAUGAGCAAAAUAGAAUCUCUAGAACAUGAAAGGAACACAACUUAUCAAAGUUCCUANNNNNNNNNAACAUAAGGUAUCAAGCAUAAGAUCAAAACAUGAUAUAUAUCAGUGCUAAAGGAUACAUGUCAUAUACUAGCAUAUAUUAGCAUUCAAAUUGAUAACAAUCCUAAAUGAAAAUUAAUCUAAUCAGAUUCCUUCACUCAUAGUUCAAUCUUAUUAAUUCCAAUACAUAUAAUAACUAGACAGCCUAAUGCAACUUCAGUAUGACAUCAGUUAAAGUUAACAAAGGUAUGCUGUAUCAAAUAAUACUAAAAAAGACAACAUAGACAAUCAUUAUAGUGUUUAUUUAUGUUUGUCAGUUAUGAACAGUGGAGGUGGCUUUAUCUAAUUUAUAGUACAGAGAACUCUGGAACAUUAGAUCAGGUUUAAAUUCAUAGUCAAUAAUAUAUAGGUCACUUUGUUGGUGAUAAGGUGGCGUUGAGUUCCUUUACCAGAAGCAGGAGCAAUGGAAAUCAUAACAUGCAGUGGAUCUUCCGUCUACGCCAUUUCUAGAUUUGGCAAGUCCAUAUUGUUGUCUCAAGCUCCCUAAAUUGUCUAGAGCUCUUUCAAACAAGCAUAAUAUCUCAUCCUUCACAGCUAAUGAUCUGCAAUGCAUUGACCGCUCAAACAUUAAUUUAGACAAACAAGGUAGAUACAUGAUAAUAAAAUCAAUAACAAAAUUAGAAUCAUUGCAAUCUAGUACUGGUCUAGCUAACAUGUCACAUAGACACUACAAUCAACCACCUCAGAUAAGAGAGCCUUCAACUUCUGAAGUUAUUUGUAUGAUUGCCGAGAGAUAUCAUAAGGUAUCAUGAGACAAAGCAAAGUAAAACAGGGGAAAUUGUAAGGUAUCAUGAGAGAUCAAAACAUAUUAUCAAAUAUUAUCGGUGGAAAAUGAAUUAACGAAACUUGAUCAAAACAAUGUUGCUCAUCAAGGCAUGUGGUUAUCAUAUGUCAAAACCAAUCCAAUAAUCAAUAAACCAUCUUCCCACAUUCUAAAUUUAAUUCACCUAUAUUUUCAUAUCAAAACGCUUUUUUUUUUUCAAUCAAAACAAGGUUGAAACUUCACUAACCUCUAUCCCAAUUUCAGCAACACACCAGAAACCAACUAUUUAUUAACAAUUAUUCAGUACAGCAGAGUAUAGUACACAGACACUGAAUAAUUUUUAAACAAGCAGAGUAAGCAAACAACAUGAAGAACACUAAGAAUCAUAAUGUAAAACCAAAAAAUCCCUAAACUUUUGAUAGAUAGCUAGUGAUCUAAGAAUAUUAAAUCAGAAAACAAAACCUACAGAUUUUGAGAAAUACCAAAUGAAAAUCGUAGAAAUAUAAAGGAAGAUGAGUGUUCUACCGAACUUUCUAUUCUCCUCUUAGCUUAUGCGGCAUCAAUUCUUGCAUUCCUGGAUGUUUUAGGGUUUAAGAGAUUAAGAGGAAAGGGCCUACUAAUAGAAAAACUGUAAACUCAGAAAACCUAGAUCUAUUGUUUAACGAGAAAAGAGAGAAAACCUGAACCAUCGGCGUUGUCAUGUCCCAUCGCGUAUUCGAUUGUAUUUGCCGUUAAUGUUCCAAUCAAGCUUCGACAAAGCAGUGGAUUGAUCGGAUCUUGAAAGGAGAGGUAUAUACUUCAGGUUCGAAGAGAGAUUGGGAAAGAAGGUUUUUUUUUUUUUUAAUA
Molecule: long non-coding RNA, 3167 nt
Filed under: Trifolium pratense (red clover)
Lineage: Eukaryota; Viridiplantae; Streptophyta; Magnoliopsida; Fabales; Fabaceae
Description: long non-coding RNA (TPRA_LNC000085)
Source: RNAcentral